Molecule: transfer RNA, 73 nt
Filed under: Terrestrivirus sp.
Lineage: Varidnaviria; Bamfordvirae; Nucleocytoviricota; Megaviricetes; Imitervirales; Mimiviridae
Description: tRNA-Ala
Source: RNAcentral
UGGAUUGGGAGCGAUUCGAACGCCCAGCUUCUUGAUUGCAAAUCAAGCACUCUACCAUUGGAGUUACCAACCC